GGAUGCGAUCAUACCAGCACUAAAGCACCGGAUCCAAUCAGAACUCCGAAGUUAAGCAUGCUUGGGCGAGAGUAGUACUAGGAUGGGUGACCUCCUCGUGCUGCAUUCC
This 109-nucleotide ribosomal RNA is filed under the name Triticum aestivum (bread wheat). Lineage: Eukaryota; Viridiplantae; Streptophyta; Magnoliopsida; Poales; Poaceae. The record is from RNAcentral.